ACAUACGACCAUACCCACUGGAAAACUCGGGAUCCCGUCCGCUCUCCCAUAGAUAAGCUAGUGAGGGCCGGAUCAGUAGUUGAGUCGGUGACGAUCGGCGAAUACCCGGUGUUGUAUGUC
Molecule: ribosomal RNA, 120 nt
Organism: Colletotrichum incanum
Lineage: Eukaryota; Fungi; Ascomycota; Sordariomycetes; Glomerellales; Glomerellaceae
Source: Rfam